Molecule: ribosomal RNA, 253 nt
Filed under: uncultured bacterium
Lineage: Bacteria
Description: partial 16S ribosomal RNA
Rfam family: Bacterial small subunit ribosomal RNA
Source: RNAcentral
UACGAAGGGGGCUAGCGUUGCUCGGAAUCACUGGGCGUAAAGCGCACGUAGGCGGGUCGUUAAGUCGGGGGUGAAAGCCCAGAGCUCAACUCUGGAACUGCCUUCGAAACUAGAGGACUUGGGUACGGGAGAGGUGAGUGGAAUUCCGAGUGUAGAGGUGAAAUUCGUAGAUAUUCGGAAGAACACCAGUGGCGAAGGCGGCUCACUGGCCCGUUACCGACGCUCAGGCGCGACAGCGUGGGGAGCAAACAGG